AGAGACAAGUAAUUCUUUAUGCAUGCCAUUGUUGCUGUUAUUAUCCAAGAUGUGAUCUUGUGUGGUUGAUAAUACUGACUAGAUAUGAAUACUGGUAAGUACCAGCCAAUCACAAAUCUAUAGUGUCUAUUU
This 132-nucleotide long non-coding RNA is filed under the name Phascolarctos cinereus (koala). Its description in RNAcentral is "lncRNA (ENSPCIG00000015510.2)". Lineage: Eukaryota; Metazoa; Chordata; Mammalia; Diprotodontia; Phascolarctidae. The record is from RNAcentral.